RNAcentral lists this ribosomal RNA (562 nucleotides) under uncultured bacterium. Its description in RNAcentral is "partial 16S ribosomal RNA". It matches the Rfam family "Bacterial small subunit ribosomal RNA", at positions 355 to 909 of the family's 1533-position model. The record is from RNAcentral.
UGGGGAAUUUUGGACAAUGGGCGAAAGCCUGAUCCAGCAAUGCCGCGUGUGUGAAGAAGGCCUUCGGGUUGUAAAGCACUUUUGUCCGGAAAGAAAUCCUCUGGAUUAAUACCUCGGGGGGAUGACGGUACCGGAAGAAUAAGCACCGGCUAACUACGUGCCAGCAGCCGCGGUAAUACGUAGGGUGCAAGCGUUAAUCGGAAUUACUGGGCGUAAAGCGUGCGCAGGCGGUUUUGUAAGACGGAUGUGAAAUCCCCGGGCUUAACCUGGGAACUGCAUUCGUGACUGCAAGGCUAGAGUAUGGCAGAGGGGGGUAGAAUUCCACGUGUAGCAGUGAAAUGCGUAGAGAUGUGGAGGAAUACCGAUGGCGAAGGCAGCCCCCUGGGCCAAUACUGACGCUCAUGCACGAAAGCGUGGGGAGCAAACAGGAUUAGAUACCCUGGUAGUCCACGCCCUAAACGAUGUCAACUAGUUGUUGGGGAUUCAUUUCCUUAGUAACGUAGCUAACGCGUGAAGUUGACCGCCUGGGGAGUACGGUCGCAAGAUUAAAAGCUCAAAUGAA